This 253-nucleotide ribosomal RNA is filed under the name uncultured bacterium. RNAcentral's name for it is "partial 16S ribosomal RNA". It matches the Rfam family "Bacterial small subunit ribosomal RNA", at positions 524 to 776 of the family's 1533-position model. The record is from RNAcentral.
UACGGGGGGGGCAAGCGUUGUUCGGAAUUACUGGGCGUAAAGGGCUCGUAGGUGGCCAACUAAGUCAGACGUGAAAUCCCUCAGCUUAACUGGGGAACUGCGUCUGAUACUGGAUGGCUUGAGUUUGGGAGAGGGAUGCGGAAUUCCAGGUGUAGCGGUGAAAUGCGUAGAUAUCUGGAGGAACACCGGUGGCGAAGGCGGCAUCCUGGACCGGUAUUGACGCUGAUGCGCGAAAGCCAGGGGAGCAAACGGG